This 643-nucleotide ribosomal RNA is filed under the name uncultured Actinomycetes bacterium. Its description in RNAcentral is "bacterial SSU rRNA". It matches the Rfam family "Bacterial small subunit ribosomal RNA", at positions 232 to 885 of the family's 1533-position model. The record is from RNAcentral. Lineage: Bacteria; Bacillati; Actinomycetota; Actinomycetes.
CGCGGCCUAUCAGCUUGUUGGUGAGGUAAUGGCUUACCAAGGCGACGACGGGUAGCCGGCCUGAGAGGGUGACCGGCCACACUGGGACUGAGACACGGCCCAGACUCCUACGGGAGGCAGCAGUGGGGAAUAUUGCACAAUGGGCGCAAGCCUGAUGCAGCGACGCCGCGUGAGGGAUGACGGCCUUCGGGUUGUAAACCUCUUUCAGUAGGGAAGAAGCGAAAGUGACGGUACCUGCAGAAGAAGCGCCGGCUAACUACGUGCCAGCAGCCGCGGUAAUACGUAGGGCGCAAGCGUUAUCCGGAAUUAUUGGGCGUAAAGAGCUCGUAGGCGGUUUGUCGCGUCUGCCGUGAAAGUCCGGGGCUCAACUCCGGAUCUGCGGUGGGUACGGGCAGACUAGAGUGAUGUAGGGGAGACUGGAAUUCCUGGUGUAGCGGUGAAAUGCGCAGAUAUCAGGAGGAACACCGAUGGCGAAGGCAGGUCUCUGGGCAUUAACUGACGCUGAGGAGCGAAAGCAUGGGGAGCGAACAGGAUUAGAUACCCUGGUAGUCCAUGCCGUAAACGUUGGGCACUAGGUGUGGGGGACAUUCCACGUUUUCCGCGCCGUAGCUAACGCAUUAAGUGCCCCGCCUGGGGAGUACGG